This 378-nucleotide ribosomal RNA is filed under the name uncultured eukaryote. RNAcentral's name for it is "partial 18S ribosomal RNA". It matches the Rfam family "Eukaryotic small subunit ribosomal RNA", at positions 592 to 976 of the family's 1831-position model. The record is from RNAcentral.
CAAUAGCGUAUAUUUAAGUUGUUGCAGUUAAAAAGCUCGUAGUUGGAUUUCGGGUGGGACGCAGCGGUCUCGCAUUGCGUUUGUACUGCUGCAGCCCUCCUUCUUGCCGGGGGCGGCCUCUCGGACUUCACUGUCUGGGGGUCAGAAUCGGCGAUGUUACUUUGAGUAAAUUAGAGUGUUCAAAGCAGGCUUACGCUCUGAAUAUAAUAGCAUGGGAUAACACGACAGGACUCUGGCCUAUCGUGUUGGUCUAUAGGACCAGAGUAAUGAUUAAGAGGGACAGUCGGGGGCAUUCGUAUUCCGUUGUCAGAGGUGAAAUUCUUGGAUUUACGGAAGACGAACAUCUGCGAAAGCAUUUGCCAAGGAUGUUUUCAUUGA